RNAcentral lists this RNase P RNA (409 nucleotides) under Roseovarius spongiae. RNAcentral describes it as "Bacterial RNase P class A". It matches the Rfam family "Bacterial RNase P class A". From Rfam's summary of the family: Ribonuclease P (RNase P) is a ubiquitous endoribonuclease, found in archaea, bacteria and eukarya as well as chloroplasts and mitochondria. The record is from Rfam by way of RNAcentral. Lineage: Bacteria; Pseudomonadati; Pseudomonadota; Alphaproteobacteria; Rhodobacterales; Roseobacteraceae.
GCGGAGGGCCGGAUGAUCGCCUGCGAACUGCUGACGCAGUUCGCACGGAGGAAAGUCCGGACUCCACAAGGCAACGGUGCCGGGUAACGCCCGGCCGGGGCAACCCGAGGGAAAGCGCCACAGAAAACAGACCGUCCUGCAUCUUGCCAAGGCAAGACGCAUGGAUAAGGGUGAAACGGUGGGGUAAGAGCCCACCGCGGGACGGGCAACCGGACCGGCACGGCAAGCCCCACCGGGAGCAAUGCCAAAUAGGGACCGCGCGCGGGGGCGACCCCGCAGGCGCGUCUUGGCCCGGCGGUCCGGGUUGGCAGCUAGAGGGGUAUCGGUAACGAUGUCCCAAGAUGAAUGAUCAUCCAGGGGAAUGCCUGCAUUCCCCGGACAGAAUCCGGCUUACAGGCCCUCCGCGCAU